This 503-nucleotide ribosomal RNA is filed under the name uncultured bacterium. RNAcentral's name for it is "bacterial SSU rRNA". It matches the Rfam family "Bacterial small subunit ribosomal RNA", at positions 15 to 507 of the family's 1533-position model. The record is from RNAcentral.
GAUCAUGGCUCAGGAUGAACGCUAGCGGCAGGCUUAACACAUGCAAGUCGAGGGGCAGCGUGAGGGUUAGCAAUAACCCUUGACGGCGACCGGCGCAAGGGUGCGUAACGCGUGAGCAACUUGCCCUUAUCAGGGGGAUAACCGGUGGAAACGCCGACUAAUACCCCAUGGUAUUCAAAUUCCGCAUGUUAUUUGAAUUAAAGAUUUAUCGGUAACGGAUGGGGAUGCGUGACAUUAGAUAGUAGGCGGGGUAACGGCCCACCUAGUCUACGAUGUCUAGGGGUUCUGAGAGGAAGGUCCCCCACACUGGAACUGAGACACGGUCCAGACUCCUACGGGAGGCAGCAGUGAGGAAUAUUGGUCAAUGGUCGGAAGACUGAACCAGCCAAGUAGCGUGAAGGAUGAAGGUUCUAUGGAUUGUAAACUUCUUUUAUACGGGAAUAAAACACCUUACGUGUAGGGUCUUGUAUGUACCGUAUGAAUAAGCAUCGGCUAACUCCGUG